AUUGAACGCUGGCGGCAUGCCUUACACAUGCAAGUCGAACGGCAGCACGGGAGCAAUCCUGGUGGCGAGUGGCGAACGGGUGAGUAAUAUAUCGGAACGUGCCCAGUCGUGGGGGAUAACGCAGCGAAAGCUGUGCUAAUACCGCAUACGAUCUAUGGAUGAAAGCGGGGGAUCGCAAGACCUCGCGCGAUUGGAGCGGCCGAUAUCAGAUUAGCUAGUUGGUGAGGUAAAGUCUCACCAAGGCGACGAUCUGUAGAUGGUCUGAGAGGACGACCAGCCACACUGGAACUGAGACACGGUCCAGACUCCUACGGGAGGCAGCAGUGGGGAAUUUUGGACAAUGGGCGAAAGCCUGAUCCAGCAAUGCCGCGUGCAGGAUGAAGGCCUUCGGGUUGUAAACUGCUUUUGUACGGAACGAAACGGUGAGCUCUAAUACAGUUUGCUAAUGACGGUACCGUAAGAAUAAGCACCGGCUAACUACGUGCCAGCAGCCGCCGCCG
This 500-nucleotide ribosomal RNA is filed under the name uncultured bacterium. RNAcentral's name for it is "partial 16S ribosomal RNA". It matches the Rfam family "Bacterial small subunit ribosomal RNA", at positions 30 to 523 of the family's 1533-position model. The record is from RNAcentral.